Molecule: microRNA precursor, 84 nt
Filed under: Chlorocebus sabaeus (green monkey)
Lineage: Eukaryota; Metazoa; Chordata; Mammalia; Primates; Cercopithecidae
Description: mir-548 microRNA precursor family
Rfam family: mir-548 microRNA precursor family
Source: Rfam by way of RNAcentral
UAUUAGGUUGGUGCAAAAGUAAUUGUGGUUUUUGCCAUUGAAAGUAAUGGCAAAAACUGCAAUUACUUUUGUACCAGCCUAAUA